RNAcentral lists this unclassified non-coding RNA (394 nucleotides) under soil metagenome. RNAcentral's name for it is "partial contains 5.8S ribosomal RNA, internal transcribed spacer 2, and large subunit ribosomal RNA". The stretch from base 1 to 120 matches the Rfam family "5.8S ribosomal RNA", at positions 36 to 154 of the family's 154-position model. The record is from RNAcentral.
AUGAAGAACGCAGCGAACGUGCGAAACGUAAUGUGAAUUGCAGAAUUCAGUGAAUCAUCGAAUCUUUGAACGCAUCUUGCGCUCCUUGGUAUUCCGAGGAGCAUGCCUGUUUGAGUGUCGUGAAUACUCUCAACUUCAACCCUUUUUUCGGAAAGGGAGGAAGGUUGGACUUGGGUGUUUGUUGAAGUGCGAGCUUCGACUCAUCCUAAAUGCAUUAGCGAUCUGCCUCGAUCACACACAAUGUGAUAAUUAAAACUAAAGCAUUGUUUAAUGAUCAAGUCGAGACUGCUUCUAACUGUCGCAAGACAAUAACGUGCAUACAUUUGUGCAUGUCAUUUGACCUCAAAUCAGGUAGGACUACCCGCUGAACUUAAGCAUAUCAAUAAGCGGAGGA